RNAcentral lists this long non-coding RNA (236 nucleotides) under Carica papaya (papaya). Its description in RNAcentral is "long non-coding RNA (CPAP_LNC009778)". The record is from RNAcentral. Lineage: Eukaryota; Viridiplantae; Streptophyta; Magnoliopsida; Brassicales; Caricaceae.
GGUAAGAUGAAAUAACUAACUUUUGAAAUCUUACGAUGUUAAAUUUAAUAUUGUUUUCCUUACUGAGUAUAUGGAACUCACUCUUUCCAUACCUCUCCCCCUCCAGAUGAGGAAGAAAGUGAGGAAUCGCAGCUAACCUACUCUUGGAAGUCUAUGAGGAUCCCGUUGAUCAACAAGUCUGAGUGCAUGACUAUUCAUGCACUUUGAUGAGUCCAAUAGCAUAGUGAAAGAAGUGG